GGAUUGGGAUAUUCCGACUCCUUAAGGGCCUGGCGCACAUAAGGUGUGACCUUUUCAUUCCCGUUGUUAUGGAGGGCCACAUCUGCCAGAGCCUGGAGUCUGCGAAGGCCGGGACCCGGUUCCCCGGCCCACAGUGGGGGUGUGCAAACCCGAGAGAACUGGUCGCUGAAACCUCUACAACUUAGUUGACCGUAACUGCCAGAGCCCUGCCCUGAAUUCCUGUCCUUACUCCCUCUUUAAGAUUGCGUACCCACUGCAGAGUGCUGAAGACGGGGUAGCCACGAGGUUGCAAAUUCGUGAAGAAUCAGCAUCAUGUUUGGCAGCUGAGUAUUGGAGCCAGGAGCCUGCCAUGAGGUUUUGAGAACAGAGUGCUGUUUUAGAGCUGGCAGCAGCAUCUCAGCCCAAGAGAAGGUUAUAUUCCCAGAGGAUGUCAGUCCCAAGGACCAGUAGCUGCCAUCAGUUUGGAUUCUGAAAACUAACUGGCAUCAACACUGGGUGUAGAAACAUGCUUGCCUUAUGUAUCAGAGGACAUGCUCAGCAGAUCCAAGAGAUAUAUUUGGCAACUUUUUCUAGAAAAGGCACAUUGGGUAUCAUUCAUUACAUUCUUGAGUUUUUUUGGGUUUUUUUUUUUUUUUUUGAGACAGUCUUGCUGUAUUGCCCAGGCUGGAGUGUGGUGGCACAAUCACAGCUCAUUGCAUCCUCAAUCACCCAGGCCUAAGCAAUCCUCCCACCUUGUAGCUGGGACUACAGCUCACAGCACACCUGGCUAAAAUUUUUUUUUUGUUGAGACGGAUUCUCUAUGUUGCCCAGGCUGGUCUCAGGCUCCUGGGCUCAGAUGGUCCUCCUGCCUCAGCUUCCAAAGGCACAGGCCAAGUUGUAGCUUUGUCCCUUGCCAUCAUGCCCAACAAGAGGUUCUAUACCUUUUAAUGAAUUGACUUUCAUAAAUUGGUUAUGUUGGUGGGCAAAGUUCUUUAAGCUGGAAAUUGUAAAUUCCUCCUGAAAUGUUUUUUCAUGCAGUUACCAUGAACUAAUACUACAAUAAAGGAUGGUCUUGGGUGUCAAUUCUUGAA
This 1070-nucleotide long non-coding RNA is filed under the name Homo sapiens (human). RNAcentral describes it as "non-protein coding LRRC75A-AS1:12". The record is from RNAcentral. Lineage: Eukaryota; Metazoa; Chordata; Mammalia; Primates; Hominidae.